UCCGAUGUGGUGUAGUGGUUAACAUUUGACGUUUUCACUUGUGAAAUUCCGUCGCGCCCGGGGUUCGAUUCCCCGCUUCGGAG
Non-coding RNA from Xylariales sp. PMI_506, 83 nucleotides. The record is from the annotation of a GenBank genome assembly. Lineage: Eukaryota; Fungi; Ascomycota; Sordariomycetes; Xylariales.